RNAcentral lists this ribosomal RNA (441 nucleotides) under uncultured bacterium. RNAcentral's name for it is "partial 16S ribosomal RNA". It matches the Rfam family "Bacterial small subunit ribosomal RNA", at positions 338 to 795 of the family's 1533-position model. The record is from RNAcentral.
CCUACGGGUGGCAGCAGUGGGGGAUAUUGCACAAUGGGGGAAACCCUGAUGCAGCGACGCCGCGUGGGUGAAGAAGUAUUUCGGUAUGUAAAGCCCUAUCAGCAGGGAAGAAAGAAGACGGUACCUGACUAAGAAGCCCCGGCUAACUACGUGCCAGCAGCCGCGGUAAUACGUAGGGGGCGAGCGUUAUCCGGAUUCACUGGGUGUAAAGGGAGCGUAGACGGCCGUGCAAGCCAGGAGUGAAAGCCCGGGGCCCAACCCCGGGACUGCUCUUGGAACUGUGCGGCGAGAGUGCGGGAGGGGCAGGCGGAAUUCGUAGUGUAGCGGUGAAAUGCGUAGAUAGUAGGAGGAACACCAGUGGCGAAGGCGGCUUACUGGACUGUAACUGACGUUGAGGCUCGAAAGCGUGGGGAGCAAACAGGAUUAGAUACCCUAGUAGUC